CCUACGGGUGGCAGCAGUGAGGAAUAUUGGUCAAUGGACGAGAGUCUGAACCAGCCAAGUAGCGUGAAGGAUGACUGCCCUAUGGGUUGUAAACUUCUUUUAUAUGGGAAUAAAAUGUUCCACGUGUGCGUUUUUGUAUGUACUAUAUGACUAAGGAUCGGCUAACUCCGUGCCAGCAGCCGCGGUAAUACGGAGGAUCCGAGCGUUAUCCGGAUUUAUUGGGUUUAAAGGGAGCGUAGGUGGAUUGUUAAGUCAGUUGUGAAAGUUUGCGGCUCAACCGUAAAAUUGCAGUUGAUACUGGCAGUCUUGAGUACAGUAGAGGUGAGCGGAAUUCGUGGUGUAGCGGUGAAAUGCUUAGAUAUCACGAAGAACUCCGAUUGCGAAGGCAGCUCACUAGACUGCAACUGACACUGAGGCUCGAAAGUGUGGGUAUCAAACAGGAUUAGAUACCCUAGUAGUC
RNAcentral lists this ribosomal RNA (460 nucleotides) under uncultured bacterium. RNAcentral's name for it is "partial 16S ribosomal RNA". It matches the Rfam family "Bacterial small subunit ribosomal RNA", at positions 338 to 795 of the family's 1533-position model. The record is from RNAcentral.